GAUGAACGCUGGCGGCGUGCCUAAUACAUGCAAGUCGAGCGAACAGACGAGGAGCUUGCUCCUCUGACGUUAGCGGCGGACGGGUGAGUAACACGUGGAUAACCUACCUAUAAGACUGGGAUAACUUCGGGAAACCGGAGCUAAUACCGGAUAAUAUAUUGAACCGCAUGGUUCAAUAGUGAAAGACGGUUUUGCUGUCACUUAUAGAUGGAUCCGCGCCGCAUCAGCUAGUUGGUAAGGUAACGGCUUACCAAGGCAACGGUGCGUAGCCGACCUGGGAGGGUGACCGCCCCCCUGAGGACUGAGGUAGGGCCCAGUCUCCUACGGUAGGCAGCGGUGGGGAGUCUUGCGCAGUGGGCGGGAGCUGGAUGCAGUAACGCCGCGUGCGGAAUGACGGCCUUCGGGUUAAAAACCAAUUUGUACUGUGCCGCAGCGUGCGUGACGUUAAUGAGUAAAGAAGCCCCGGCUAACUCCGUG
This 477-nucleotide ribosomal RNA is filed under the name uncultured bacterium. Its description in RNAcentral is "partial 16S ribosomal RNA". It matches the Rfam family "Bacterial small subunit ribosomal RNA", at positions 28 to 507 of the family's 1533-position model. The record is from RNAcentral.